This 65-nucleotide transfer RNA is filed under the name Prodiamesa olivacea. RNAcentral describes it as "tRNA-Pro". The record is from RNAcentral. Lineage: Eukaryota; Metazoa; Arthropoda; Insecta; Diptera; Chironomidae.
CAGGAAAUAGUUUAUUUAAAAUAUUAAUUUUGGGGAUUAAUGAUAGGGGUUUUCCUUUUUCUUGA